This 71-nucleotide transfer RNA is filed under the name Mus musculus (house mouse). It matches the Rfam family "tRNA". Rfam says of the family: Transfer RNA (tRNA) molecules are approximately 80 nucleotides in length. The record is from Rfam by way of RNAcentral. Lineage: Eukaryota; Metazoa; Chordata; Mammalia; Rodentia; Muridae.
GGAGAUGUGGCUCAGUGGUUAAGAGCACUGGCUGCUAGUCCAGAGUAUCUGGGUUAGAUUCCCAGCACCCA